Molecule: long non-coding RNA, 1625 nt
Organism: Ailuropoda melanoleuca (giant panda)
Lineage: Eukaryota; Metazoa; Chordata; Mammalia; Carnivora; Ursidae
Exons: 3
Source: RefSeq, a predicted model, not a curated record
CACGCGGUGGUAGUGACUGAGUGGCCCGGUGGGGCCCGGAGGGCGGCGCGGACCCGGACACGAAUCGCGGGGAGGUCGUGGGGGCGGGGAGAAAGGAGGGACCGUGGGUGCGUGCCCGUGAGACCUCAGCUGCGUAUGGCCGGCUGUGACACUGCACGUGUGCGUGUCAGAGAGGAGGGGUGUUUUGCAUGUGAGGUACCACCUGCGUGUGCAUAUGUGACGUCAGGUGUGUGGAGGGGCCGGGUGCGUCAGUGUUUGUGUGUGCAGGUGUAACCUCAGGUAUGUGCAUGUGGCUGAGUAUGUCACCAUGUGUGCGUUUCGGAGGGGAAGGGUGUCUUGCAUGCGAGAUACCUGUGUGUGUAGAUGAGGCCUCAGGUGUGUGUGAGUGGUCAGGUGGGUCAGCAUGCAUGUUGGUGGGGAAGGGAUGUUUUGUGUGUGUGACACCUCCUUUCUGCAGACGUGACCUCGGGUGUGUACCUGUGACCUGUACACCUUAGCUAUCACCCCCAUUCCCCUUUUCUCCAGCCCUGGCAACCAUUAAUCUACUUUCUGUUAAUUAAUCUGUCUGUUCUGGACGUGCGAUAUAAAUGGGAUUAGACAGUAAGUGGCUUUUUUAUGUCUGGCUUCUCUCACUGAGCAUAUUGUUUUUAAAGCCCUAUUGUGCCAUUUAUCAGUACUUCAUUCAUUUUUAUAGCUGAAUAAUAAUCCUUUGUGUGGCUAUACCACAGUUUGUUUACCCAAAUAAUGCUGCUGUGAACACACAUACAAGUUUUUGUGUGGACAUGUGUUUUCAGUUUGGAGGAGUAAGGCCAUUGGGUCUGUCUCAGGGAAGCUCAUGUGUAUGGCCACACCUGCUCUCUGUUGCCUUUGCUCAUCCGGCAGUAUUUCAUUUUCCAGAAUCCCAGCCCUGAGCCCUGAAGUGAAAGCCAGGAGCCUGACUGCUCUAUGGAAGUAGAUGGGAGGAGGCAGUGGCUGUGGGAACUGGAAUCCAUCCCUACAACAGUCACCCACAACCUGGGAUCUCUGUCUGGGACUAAGAACACAUGCCCCCUAUCCUGUAGCUGCUGAGGUCAAGCAGCCGAGAGCCAGACAGAGUGGCAGGCAAUGGAGCCUGAGGAGCCAGCUCUUCCUUCUCAGGGGCGCAUCAAGGAAGACAAGCCUAAGGCCCAAGAUACUGUAUUCCCAGCAGAUGCCUUCCAUAAGCCAGUGACAUUUAAGGACGUGGCCGUAGACUUCACACGGGAGGAGUGGGGCUGCUGGGCCCCACACAGAGGAUCCUAUACCGUGACGUGAUGCUGAGGAACUACAGCAACUUGGUUUCUCUGGGUGAGGCCUUCUGUCACCUCUUCAUCCAUGUCCUGUGUGUGUGAGUGCACCCUUCCAUGUACACUCACACAUACGUAUGCAUAUUUAUCCCCUGCCUUGUCCCCAGUAACCCACACCCAGGUAUGUCCUUGCUCUGACCUGUGUGCCCCAGUUGGGCCCCUCUGUGUAGAGUAGAUGCCUCACCCCACAUCACCAGAGAGAGACUUCCCCUGGGGCACACACACUGCACUAUUGGGCCUAUUGGGGCCUGGCUGGCUUGUGGCAACAGCAUCAACAUUUCCUUCCUACUUUCUGACUAU